Molecule: unclassified non-coding RNA, 357 nt
Filed under: plant metagenome
Description: partial contains small subunit ribosomal RNA, internal transcribed spacer 1, and 5.8S ribosomal RNA
Source: RNAcentral
UUUCCGUAGGUGAACCUGCGGAAGGAUCAUUAAUGGGAAAUCAAAUCAAAACAAAUGUUCUGUUGCACUGGGUGUGCUGUGUGGUGGUGGUGUGAGACAUGGAGAUUCAAUCAUUGGAGAUUCAAUCAUUGGAGAUUCAAUCAUUGGAGAUUCAAUCAUUGGAGAUUCAAUCAUUGGAGAUUCAAUCAUUGGAAUUUCAAUCAUUGGAGAUUCAAUCAUUGGAAUUUCAAUCAUUGGAGAUUCAAUCAUUCAAUCUCAAUCAUCGCCACACAACACAACUAUCUAUCACACUCGAUCAACAACAACACACUCACACACAACAGCAAACAACUUUUAACAAUGGAUCUCUUGGCUCUU